CGAACGCUGGCGGCAGGCCUAACACAUGCAAGUCGAGCGAGAUCUUCGGGUCUAGCGGCGGACGGGUGAGUAACGCGUGGGAAUAUGCCUCUUGUUACGGAAUAGCCUCGGGAAACUGGGAGUAAUACCGUAUGUGCCCUUUGGGGGAAAGAUUUAUCGCCAAGAGAUUAGCCCGCGUUGGAUUAGGUAGUUGGUGGGGUAAUGGCCUACCAAGCCGACGAUCCAUAGCUGGUUUGAGAGGAUGAUCAGCCACACUGGGACUGAGACACGGCCCAGACUCCUACGGGAGGCAGCAGUGGGGAAUCUUAGACAAUGGGGGCAACCCUGAUCUAGCCAUGCCGCGUGAGUGAUGAAGGCCUUAGGGUUGUAAAGCUCUUUCAGCUGGGAAGAUAAUGACGGUACCAGCAGAAGAAGCCCCGGCUAACUCC
This 428-nucleotide ribosomal RNA is filed under the name uncultured bacterium. Its description in RNAcentral is "bacterial SSU rRNA". It matches the Rfam family "Bacterial small subunit ribosomal RNA", at positions 30 to 504 of the family's 1533-position model. The record is from RNAcentral.